UGGGGGAUAUUGCACAAUGGGCGAAAGCCUGAUGCAGCGACGCCGCGUGGGGGAUGAAGGCUUUCGGGUUGUAAACCUCUUUCGCUAUCGAACAAGGCCCGCUUAGGGUGGGUUGAGGGUAGGUGGAGAAGAAGCGCCGGCUAACUACGUGCCAGCAGCCGCGGUAAUACGUAGGGCGCGAGCGUUGUCCGGAAUUAUUGGGCGUAAAGGGCUUGUAGGCGGCUUGUUGCGCCUGCUGUGAAAACGCGGGGCUUAACUUCGCGCGUGCAGUGGGUACGGGCAGGCUUGAGUGUGGUAGGGGUGACUGGAAUUCCAGGUGUAGCGGUGGAAUGCGCAGAUAUCUGGAGGAACACCGAUGGCGAAGGCAGGUCACUGGGCCAUUACUGACGCUGAGGCUCGAAAGCGUGGGGAGCAAACAGG
This 420-nucleotide ribosomal RNA is filed under the name Chloroflexota bacterium. RNAcentral describes it as "Chloroflexi bacterium partial 16S ribosomal RNA". It matches the Rfam family "Bacterial small subunit ribosomal RNA", at positions 355 to 776 of the family's 1533-position model. The record is from RNAcentral. Lineage: Bacteria; Bacillati; Chloroflexota.